This 217-nucleotide ribosomal RNA is filed under the name uncultured bacterium. RNAcentral's name for it is "partial 16S ribosomal RNA". It matches the Rfam family "Bacterial small subunit ribosomal RNA", at positions 328 to 539 of the family's 1533-position model. The record is from RNAcentral.
ACGCUCGACACCUACGGGAGGCAGCAGUGAGGAAUAUUGGUCAAUGGGGCGCAGGCCUGAACCAGCCAAGUAGCGUGAAGGAUGACUGCCCUAUGGGUUGUAAACUUCUUUAUAUGGGAAUAAAGUUUUCCACGUGUGGAAUUUUGUAUGUACCAUAUGAAUAAGGAUCGGCUAACUCCGUGCCACAGCCGCGGUAAUCUGAGCGGGCUGGCAAGGC